GGUCCCAGUAGAGUUUUCUGUAUCACAUGAUUAAUCCAAUUUCAUUCUGUCUGACCCCUUACCAGGCAAGUCUAAGAUAGAAGAUGCUUCCGGUUGUAUCUCGGAUUUACCAUGCAAAUCUUUAGUACUGUGCUGAAGUUGGCCAGUCGUUACUUUAAAUAAGAAAUGUGAUUCAACACAAGUUGAGCUCCCUAAAAGGUCAUCUGCUUUAGAAGCAUGACCAUUAAAAACUAAAUCUUCAGGAUUAAUGCUGUCACAAGCAGUAGC
RNAcentral lists this long non-coding RNA (267 nucleotides) under Elaeis guineensis (African oil palm). Its description in RNAcentral is "long non-coding RNA (EGUI_LNC076833)". The record is from RNAcentral. Lineage: Eukaryota; Viridiplantae; Streptophyta; Magnoliopsida; Arecales; Arecaceae.